This 251-nucleotide ribosomal RNA is filed under the name uncultured bacterium. RNAcentral's name for it is "partial 16S ribosomal RNA". It matches the Rfam family "Bacterial small subunit ribosomal RNA", at positions 524 to 776 of the family's 1533-position model. The record is from RNAcentral.
UACGUAGGGUGCGAGCGUUGUCCGGAAUUACUGGGCGUAAAGAGCUCGUAGGCGGCUUGUCGCGUCGACCGUGAAAACUUGGGGCUCAACCCCAAGCCUGCGGUCGAUACGGGCAGGCUCGAGUUCGGUAGGGAGACUGGAAUUCCUGGUGUAGCGGUGAAAUGCGUAGAUAUCAUUUGGAACGCCAACGGCGAAAGCAGGCAGCUGGGAUGCACCGACGCUGAGACACGAAAGCCAGGGGAGCGAACGGG